RNAcentral lists this ribosomal RNA (500 nucleotides) under uncultured bacterium. Its description in RNAcentral is "partial 16S ribosomal RNA". It matches the Rfam family "Bacterial small subunit ribosomal RNA", at positions 30 to 523 of the family's 1533-position model. The record is from RNAcentral.
AUUGAACGCUGGCGGAAUGCUUUACACAUGCAAGUCGAACGGCAGCACGGACUUCGGUCUGGUGGCGAGUGGCGAACGGGUGAGUAAUGUAUCGGAACGUGCCCAGUCGUGGGGGAUAACGUAGUGAAAAUUACGCUAAUACCGCAUACGAUCUAUGGAUGAAAGCGGGGGAUCGCAAGACCUCGCGCGAUUGGAGCGGCCGAUAUCAGAUUAGGUAGUUGGUGGGGUAAAGGCCCACCAAGCCAACGAUCUGUAGCUGGUCUGAGAGGACGACCAGCCACACUGGAACUUGGACACGGUCCAGACUCCUACGAGAGGCAGCAGUGGGGAAUUUUGGACAAUGGGCGAAAGCCUGAUCCAGCCAUUCCGCGUGCAGGAUGAAGGCCCUCGGGUUGUAAACUGCUUUUGUACAGAACGAAAAGGUUUCUACUAAUACUAGGAGCUCAUGACGGUACUGUAAGAAUAAGCACCGGCUAACUACGUGCCAGCAGCCGCGGUAA